This 308-nucleotide long non-coding RNA is filed under the name Physcomitrium patens. RNAcentral's name for it is "long non-coding RNA (PPAT_LNC000853)". Lineage: Eukaryota; Viridiplantae; Streptophyta; Bryopsida; Funariales; Funariaceae. The record is from RNAcentral.
AUAAUUUCCUAUCUUGAUGAUAUUUUUUAGUAAUAAAAUUAAUUUAAAUCCAUUAUAAAUCUUAUUUUUUAUAUAAAUAAGUAAAAAGACAUGAGAUUCUUUUUCAUGCUUCUUCUAACUACUAACCAACAUUUAUAGUUUUCUUAUAAGAAAUACAUAUAGAUAGAAAGAAAAUAUAAAUAUUGACCUUAAUAAAUAAUCCUUAAUAUUAAAUAAUAAAUAAAUAUUACUAAAUCAACUAAGAUAAUUACUUCUAAGACUUACUAAGACUCCAUUUCUACAAUUAACAUUAUAAUUUUCUAUUUGUU